Small nuclear RNA from Sorex araneus (European shrew), 109 nucleotides. The record is from RefSeq and is a predicted model, not a curated record. Lineage: Eukaryota; Metazoa; Chordata; Mammalia; Eulipotyphla; Soricidae.
GUGCUCGCUUUGGCAGCACAUACACUAAAAUUGGAAUGAUACAGAGAGAAGAUUAGCAUGGCCCCUGCAUAAGGAUGACAUGCAAAUACAAAAGUAGAACAUUCCAUUU